Molecule: transfer RNA, 65 nt
Filed under: Neoperlops gressitti
Lineage: Eukaryota; Metazoa; Arthropoda; Insecta; Plecoptera; Perlidae
Description: tRNA-Leu
Rfam family: tRNA
About the family: Transfer RNA (tRNA) molecules are approximately 80 nucleotides in length. Their secondary structure includes four short double-helical elements and three loops (D, anti-codon, and T loops).
Source: RNAcentral
UCUAAUAUGGCAGAUUAGUGCAAUGGAUUUAAGCUCCAUAUAUAAAGGCAACCCUUUUAUUAGAA